GGGUUAAGACCACAGAUAAUGAUAAUUAAGCUGUUACAGUAGGUGUUCAUUUUGACCAGAAUUUGAACUGUAAUAACCACAUUGACAAUUUGUGCAAAUGAGUCUCACAUUUUUCGUCGGAUAAGACAUUUUCUACCAUUUCGGGCAAGGAUGGCUUUCUACAAUUGUGUAAUUCUCUCAAUAACAAACUAUUGCUGUGUUGUGUGGGGAAACACCUGUCAGAAGAACUUUGACAAAAUUUUAAAAUUGCAGAAAAGAGCAAGCACGGUUAAUCCUUGAUACUGACGGGAAAGCACAUUCAUUACCGUUGUUUCUACAGCUUGGUUGGUAACCCAUGGGUGAACACAUCAAAUAUUUCCGUUGCCUACUGGGUUUUAAAUUAUUAAAAUUAUUUAAAUUAUGUCCUGGUUAUAUGAAAAACUUAUUAACCCCUUUCAAAAAUGUUCAUUGUCAAAACACACGAGGAUCAACUAACAAUAAUCUAGUACUGCCUAGAGUAAGCACCAAUUCUGGUAAACGCUCUUUUUCUUUUCUCGCUGCUAGUGAUUGGAACUCCUUAGACGUAUAGACAUACGUAAUGCAUCAACACUUUCUCAAUUUAGAAAUGCCUAUUUAAAUAUGGCAUUAUAAAUUAA
This is a non-coding RNA of Paramuricea clavata, 635 nucleotides long. The record is from the annotation of a GenBank genome assembly. Lineage: Eukaryota; Metazoa; Cnidaria; Anthozoa; Malacalcyonacea; Plexauridae.